This 301-nucleotide ribosomal RNA is filed under the name uncultured bacterium. Its description in RNAcentral is "partial 16S ribosomal RNA". It matches the Rfam family "Bacterial small subunit ribosomal RNA", at positions 509 to 809 of the family's 1533-position model. The record is from RNAcentral.
CAGCAGCCACGGUAAUACGUAGGGUGCAAGCGUUAAUCGGAAUUACUGGGCGUAAAGCGUGCGCAGGCGGUUCGCUAAGACAGAUGUGAAAUCCCCGGGCUUAACCUGGGAACUGCAUUUGUGACUGGCGGGCUAGAGUAUGGCAGAGGGGGGUAGAAUUCCACGUGUAGCAGUGAAAUGCGUAGAGAUGUGGUGGAAUACCGAUGGCGAAGGCAGCCCCCUGGGCCAAUACUGACGCUCAUGCACGAAAGCGUGGGGAGCAAACAGGAUUAGAUACCCGCGUAGUCCCUGUCUCUUAUAU